UCCCUGGUGGUCUAGCAGUUUGGUCUCUGCACUUUCUCUGCAGAGAGCCCAGGUUCAAUUCCUAGUUGGGGAA
This 73-nucleotide transfer RNA is filed under the name Bos taurus (domestic cattle). It matches the Rfam family "tRNA". Rfam says of the family: Transfer RNA (tRNA) molecules are approximately 80 nucleotides in length. Their secondary structure includes four short double-helical elements and three loops (D, anti-codon, and T loops). The record is from Rfam by way of RNAcentral. Lineage: Eukaryota; Metazoa; Chordata; Mammalia; Artiodactyla; Bovidae. RNAcentral also lists the same sequence under 5 other names.